Molecule: ribosomal RNA, 468 nt
Filed under: uncultured bacterium
Lineage: Bacteria
Description: partial 16S ribosomal RNA
Rfam family: Bacterial small subunit ribosomal RNA
Source: RNAcentral
GACGAACGCUGGCGGCGGGCUUAACACAUGCAAGUCGAACGGAAAGGCCCUGCUUUUGUGUGGUGCUCGAGUGGCGAACGGGUGAGUAACACGUUAGUAACCUGCCCUUUACUUUGGGAUAACUUCAGGAAACUGGGGCUAAUACCUGAUAGGAGCUCCUGCUGCAUGGUGGGGGUUGGAAAUUUUAGGCGGUUGGGGAUGGACUCGCGGCUUAUCAGCUUGUUGGUGGGGUAGUGGCUUACCAAGGCUUUGACGGGUAGCCGGCAUGAGAGGGUGACCGGCCACCUUGGGCCUGAGAGACGGCCCAGACUCCUACGGGAGGCAGCAGUGGGAAAUAUUGCACAAUGGGCGGAAGCCUGAUGAAGAAACGCCGCGUGCGGGAUGACGGCCUUCGGGUUGUAAACCGCAUUAGCCUGUAACGAAGCGUGAGUGACGGUAAUGGGUAAAGAAGCACCGGCUAACUACGUG